This 292-nucleotide ribosomal RNA is filed under the name uncultured bacterium. Its description in RNAcentral is "partial 16S ribosomal RNA". It matches the Rfam family "Bacterial small subunit ribosomal RNA", at positions 505 to 796 of the family's 1533-position model. The record is from RNAcentral.
GUGCCAGCAGCCGCGGUAAUACGUAGGGCGCAAGCGUUGUCCGGAAUUAUUGGGCGUAAAGAGCUCGUAGGCGGUUUGUCGCGUCUGCUGUGAAAACCCGAGGCUCAACCUCGGGCCUGCAGUGGGUACGGGCAGACUAGAGUGCGGUAGGGGAGACUGGAAUUCCUGGUGUAGCGGUGGAAUGCGCAGAUAUCAGGAGGAACACCGAUGGCGAAGGCAGGUCUCUGGGCCGCAACUGACGCUGAGGAGCGAAAGCAUGGGGAGCGAACAGGAUUAGAAACCCCUGUAGUCC